AAAUAAUUGCUAAAUUAAUCCCCAUAUUCUAAGUCUUCCCUUUCUGAGGAUUUCAUCAUAGGAUGACAGAAUAUUUGUUUUAACAAGAUAAAGGUGACAAAUAACUUAAAAUGGGGGAGAAAACCUGCCUAAUUUGGAAAAAGAAUGUCAGGUAUAAGUUGUUAAUGAUCAGCAGUCAGCUGUAGAGCUUGAUAGACACUUAGCUGAGCCAAUCCUCAGUCCUUCCAUUGGCCCUUGUGACUGUAUCCUAACCCAUUUUCCUCCAUAGCAUUUCCUUUCCCCAGGAUCCUCUCACAGAAUUCACCUAUAGAUUGCAAUUCUCUCUCACCAUGCUAAGAUUAUCUUUCUUACUACCAAUUCUUUCUAGGCUUCAUGAUUUCUUUCCUAACGUCUUCUGAUUCGACUUUGAGACAACUCAGCACUGUGGAAUCUUUGCUGCAACUUCUCCAAUGAACAGAUGUUCCUUUCCAUCCUCUUAACAAGGUGUCCACCCUAGAAAAUCGGAACAAGUGGUUGCUGGCAAGCAAAGCAUGUGAUGGUGUCCCAGUUGGGUUCAGAUGGCUCAGAAGAUGUAUUUGGUUCAAGAUUGGAUGGGGAGUGGCAGACCUCCACUUUGGCCAGUGAGCUGUCCACCCUAGAAAAUCAGAACAAGUGGUUGCUGGCAAGCAAAGCAUAUGAUGGUGUCCCUGUGAUGUUCAGGUGGCUCAGAAGAUGUAUUUGGUUCAAGAUUGGAGGGGGAGUGGCAGACCUCUACUUUGGCCAGUGAGCUGUCCACCCUAGAAAAUCAGAACAAGUGGUUGCUGGCAAGCAAAGCAUAUGAUGGUGUCCCUGUGAUGUUCAGGUGGCUCAGAAGAUGUAUUUGGUUCAAGAUUGGAGGGGGAGUGGCAGACCUCUACUUUGGCCAGUGAGGUGAGUGGCUGUGGCAGACUGCAUGAUGCGUCCAAACCCUUUUUCUUUGACUCUUCCAUGAGGCGCUGGAAGUCUUGAAUAGGAAAGCAAGGAAUCAAUAGCUCAGAGGCUAAGCUCUGAGCAUUACUUCAUAGGGAUCUUAACCUGUUGUCCUGACAUUUCCCAAAAAGGAGCAUUUACUAAAGAAGAAU
RNAcentral lists this long non-coding RNA (1100 nucleotides) under Monodelphis domestica (gray short-tailed opossum). RNAcentral's name for it is "lncRNA (ENSMODG00000030552.2)". The record is from RNAcentral. Lineage: Eukaryota; Metazoa; Chordata; Mammalia; Didelphimorphia; Didelphidae.